Molecule: ribosomal RNA, 253 nt
Filed under: uncultured bacterium
Lineage: Bacteria
Description: partial 16S ribosomal RNA
Rfam family: Bacterial small subunit ribosomal RNA
Source: RNAcentral
UACAGAGGGUGCGAGCGUUGUUCGGAAUUACUGGGCGUAAAGGGCGCGUAGGCGGAUCGGCAAGUCAGAAGUGAAAUCCCUGGGCUCAACCCAGGAAUUGCUUUUGAGACUGCCAGUCUUGAGUACAGGAGAGGUGAGUGGAAUUCCCAGUGUAGAGGUAAAAUUCGUAGAUAUUGGGAGGAACACCAGUGGCGAAGGCGGCUCACUGGCCUGUAACUGACGCUGAGGCGCGAAAGCGUGGGGAGCAAACAGG